UUGGAGGGCAAGUCUGGUGCCAGCAGCCGCGGUAAUUCCAGCUCCAAUAGCGUAUAUUAAAGUUGUUGCAGUUAAAAAGCUCGUAGUUGAACUUCGGGGUCUACCCAUUGGUCAGGCUUAAUUGUCUGCACUGGUGAGAUGGAUCUCUACCUUCUGAGGAACUUUCAUGCCAUUUAUUUGGUGUGAUGGGAAAUCAGGACUGUUACUUUGAAAAAAUUAGAGUGUUUAAAGCGGACUAUCGUCUGAAUACAUUAGCAUGGAAUAAUGAAAUAGGACGGACUGAUUCUAUUUCGUUGGUUUCUAGGAUCACCGUAAUGAUUAAUAGGGAUAGUUGGGGGCAUUAGUAUUCAAUUGUCAGAGGUGAAAUUCUUGGAUUUAUUGAAGACUAACUACUGCGAAAGCAUUUGCCAAGGAUGUUUUCAUUAAUCAAGAACGAAAGUUAGGGGAUCGAAGACGAUCAGAUACCGUCGUAGUCUUAACCAUAAACUAUGCCGACUAGGGAUCGGACGAAGUUAAUUUUAUAAUGACGCGUUCGGCGCCUUACGGGAAAC
This 551-nucleotide ribosomal RNA is filed under the name uncultured Glomeromycotina. RNAcentral describes it as "SSU rRNA". It matches the Rfam family "Eukaryotic small subunit ribosomal RNA", at positions 548 to 1098 of the family's 1831-position model. The record is from RNAcentral. Lineage: Eukaryota; Fungi; Glomeromycota.